This 1249-nucleotide ribosomal RNA is filed under the name Argulus siamensis. Its description in RNAcentral is "SSU rRNA". It matches the Rfam family "Eukaryotic small subunit ribosomal RNA", at positions 132 to 1351 of the family's 1831-position model. Lineage: Eukaryota; Metazoa; Arthropoda; Ichthyostraca; Arguloida; Argulidae. The record is from RNAcentral.
AUUCUACUUGGAUAACUGUGGUAAUUCUAGAGCUAAUACAUGCUUCAAUAUUUCCGACCUUAACGGGGAGGAAGGCUUUUAUUAGACCAGAACCUAUUCGGUGCCGCGGGUUCGCGCUCGCGAGUGCCGGUUUCUUGGUGACUCUGAAUAACUUUGGGCUGAUCGCACGGUCUUUGCACCGGCGACGGGUCUUUCAAAUGUCUGACUUAUCAACUGUCGAUGGUAGGUUAUGCGCCUACCAUGGUUGUCACGGGUAACGGGGAAUCAGGGUUCGAUUCCGGAGAGGGAGCCUGAGAAACGGCUACCACAUCCAAGGAAGGCAGCAGGCGCGCAAAUUACCCACUCCCGGCACGGGGAGGUAGUGACGAAAAAUAACAAUACGGGACUCAUCCGAGGCCCCGUAAUUGGAAUGAGUACACUUUAAAUCCUUUAACGAGGAUCCAUUGGAGGGCAAGUCUGGUGCCAGCAGCCGCGGUAAUUCCAGCUCCAAUAGCGUAUAUUAAAGUUGCUGCGGUUAAAAAGCUCGUAGUUGGAUCCCAGUUGCAGACGGGCGGUCCGCCUCAUGGCGGUUCACUGCCCCGUUCUCGACAUACCUCCGGUUAUAUUUGUCCCGCGAUGCUCUUUACCGGGUGUCGCGGGGGGCCGGUACGUUUACUUUGAAAAAAUUAGAGUGCUCAAAGCAGGCGAUGGCCAGAAUAAUGGUGCAUGGAAUAAUGGAAUAGGACCUCGGUUCUAUCUUGUUGGUUCUUCGGAACACGAGGUAAUGAUUAAUAGGGACGGACGGGGGCAUUCGUAUUGCGACGUUAGAGGUGAAAUUCUUGGAUCGUCGCAAGACGAACUACUGCGAAAGCAUUUGCCAAGAAUGUUUUCGUUAAUCAAGAACGAAGUUAGAGGUUCGAAGCGAUCAGAUACCGCCCUAGUUCUAACCAUAAACGAUGCCAACCAGCGAUCCGUCGGCGUUACUUCGAAUGACCCGACGAGCAGCUUCCGGGAAACCAAAGUUUCUGGGUUCCGGGGGAAGUAUGGUUGCAAAGCCGAAACUUAAAGGAAUUGACGGAAGGGCACCACCAGGAGUGGAGCCUGCGGCUUAAUUUGACUCAACACGGGAAACCUCACCAGGCCCGGACACUUGGAGGAUUGACAGAUUGAGAGCUCUUUCUUGAUUCAGGGGGUGGUGGUGCAUGGCCGUUCUUAGUUGGUGGAGCGAUUUGUCUGGUUAAUUCCGAUAACGAACGAGACCCUUUCCUGC